GAAAUGAUGAAUUUAAUAUAAGAUAAGGAGAUGGUGUAUGAUAUCCAAUGAGCUAAUUAUCUAACAGAGUCCAAAUGAAGCGGAUUUAAGCAACUUAAGGUGAUAUUAAUACACAUACUUUGACCAUGAGAAAACUCUAUACCGUCUAGUCAGCUGUUAUAGGCUUCGACAUGUCAGAAUGUGAAACAGUCCAAACGAAAAAUAAAC
RNAcentral lists this long non-coding RNA (207 nucleotides) under Mytilus galloprovincialis (Mediterranean mussel). The record is from RNAcentral. Lineage: Eukaryota; Metazoa; Mollusca; Bivalvia; Mytilida; Mytilidae.